Molecule: transfer RNA, 71 nt
Filed under: Actinomycetes bacterium
Lineage: Bacteria; Bacillati; Actinomycetota; Actinomycetes
Also listed under: 5 other names
Description: Actinobacteria bacterium tRNA-Cys
Rfam family: tRNA
About the family: Transfer RNA (tRNA) molecules are approximately 80 nucleotides in length.
Source: RNAcentral
GGCGGCAUGGCCGAGUGGUGAGGCGCCGGACUGCAAAUCCGUUAACCCCGGUUCGAUUCCGGGUGCCGCCU